RNAcentral lists this small RNA (582 nucleotides) under Pongo abelii (Sumatran orangutan). Its description in RNAcentral is "processed transcript". Lineage: Eukaryota; Metazoa; Chordata; Mammalia; Primates; Hominidae. The record is from RNAcentral.
AGACAACAAAUUUGGCCAACAACCAUUGCACACCUGCCCUAGCUUGCUCACCCAGGUAUUCUUCAAAGAGCAGCCUCCUCCCUCCUACCCAGAAGAAUUCUGGAUGACAAGUACUGGGCAAGGCGCAGAAAGAACAACAUGGCAGCCAAGCGCUCCCGUGACGCCCGGAGGCUGAAGGAGAACCAGAUCGCCAUCCGGGCCUCGUUCCUGGAGAAGGAGAACUCGGCCCUCCGCCAGGAGGUGGCUGACUUGAGGAAGGAGCUGGGCAAAUGCAAGAACAUACUUGCCAAGUAUGAGGCCAGGCACGGGCCCCUGUAGGAUGGCAUUUUUGCAGGCUGGCUUUGGAAUAGAUGGACAGUUUGUUUCCUGUCUGAUAGCACGACACCCAAACCAACCUUUCUGACAUCAGCACUUUACCAGAGGCAUAAACACAACUGACUCCCAUUUUGGUGUGCAUCUGUGUGUGUGUGUGUGUAUAUGUGCUUGUGCUCAUGUGUGUGGUCAGCGGUAUGUGCGUGUGCGUGUUCCUUUGCUCUUGCCAUUUUAAGAUAGCCCUCUCAUCGUCUUUUAGUUCCAACAAAG